AACGAACGCUGGCGGCAGGCCUAACACAUGCAAGUCGAGCGAGGACUUCGGUCCUAGCGGCGGACGGGUGAGUAACGCGUGGGAACGUGCCCUUUGCUUCGGAAUAGCCCUGGGAAACUGGGAGUAAUACCGGAUGAGCCCUUUGGGGGAAAGAUUUAUCGGCGAAGGAUCGGCCCGCGUUGGAUUAGGUAGUUGGUGGGGUAAUGGCCUACCAAGCCGACGAUCCAUAGCUGGUUUGAGAGGAUGAUCAGCCACACUGGGACUGAGACACGGCCCAGACUCCUACGGGAGGAAGCAGUGGGGAAUCUUAGACAAUGGGGGAAACCCUAAUCUAGCCAGGCCGCGUGAGCGAUAAGGCCUUAGGGUUGUAAAGCUCUUUCAGCUGGGAAGAUAAUGACGGUACCAGGAGAAGAAGCCCCGGCUAACUCCGUG
This 432-nucleotide ribosomal RNA is filed under the name uncultured bacterium. Its description in RNAcentral is "partial 16S ribosomal RNA". It matches the Rfam family "Bacterial small subunit ribosomal RNA", at positions 29 to 507 of the family's 1533-position model. The record is from RNAcentral.